AUGAAGUUAUUGGUCAGAGGUGACAUAAUCAGGGAAAAAUAUCCCAUACCUCCUAGCAAUUGUCCCGCUCGACCAAUGUUUUCCAUAGUGGACCCUGUGGCCCAAUACGAAUUAAAGGGAAACAAUGUAGCCAUCACAUUUUCUGAGUACACUGGUGCACUAGGGUGUAUGUCAGCCAUUAUUUCAGUUGAAAAACCCUACGAUUGGUCACUCACUAAUCACUACUUGUUCUACCAAUUUCUGAACCAGGAAAGGAGCUGUUUUGCAUCUUUGCUUACACAUUAG
Non-coding RNA from Vicia faba (fava bean), 285 nucleotides. The record is from the annotation of a GenBank genome assembly. Lineage: Eukaryota; Viridiplantae; Streptophyta; Magnoliopsida; Fabales; Fabaceae.